This is a long non-coding RNA of Patella vulgata (common limpet), 883 nucleotides long. RefSeq lists it as uncharacterized. Lineage: Eukaryota; Metazoa; Mollusca; Gastropoda; Patellidae. The record is from RefSeq and is a predicted model, not a curated record. The transcript has 3 exons.
UUAAGGGUUUGUUUGUUGGUAACCAUUCCGGUAAUAUCACUAUGGUACGGGAUGUUAUGACUUAAACGAUUUAGAAGAUACUUAUAUACCAGUAUUCAUCUAUCCCUUUGUUAUAAUAGUCAUAAUAAUAGUCAUAACACAGCUUUAUGGAUUUGCUACUUCUUGGUUUAUUACAAUCAGCGUUUAGAAGACAUAUUUUUAAUUAGCCACGUGCUAUGUAUUUGGACAUUUAUAGUGUUCAAGUCUGCAAGAGGUAGAAGUUCAAUUGAGAGCCAACAUUCUUUAUUAGACAAGGUUUAAUUAUGAAGUCGUUACAAUAUACGCUGGGUAUAAGUUUUGGUUUAUUUCUUACCAUCGCGUGUAAACAGGAUUUCUACAGCAGAUAUAAUUUACAGAAUUCGGUAACUACGUUUUAUUCUCAUGAAAUCAACGACAUAUCCCUUGUUACCUGUGCACUAUUGUGUAUUUCUACUGAAGGUUGUACCUAUUUCUACUGGCAAAACAGAUCGUGUUUUAUUGUAAAUGCAGCCUCACCUGGUACAGAUUCAGUAAAUAUUAAAUCUAUUUACGUUGACCAUGUUCUCAAAGGUAAAUGUAAUCUAGAUGGGUAUGACGUUAUAUUUGGUGGUGUAUUGUGUAUAAAGGUAUAUGACGAAAAAAAGAUUUGGACAGACGCCAAGGCAACUUGUGAACAAGAUGGUGGACAGUUACUUGUGAUGAGAACGAGUGUCUUCUAUAUAAAACUGGAGGCACUGAAGACACUCCAACUAUCUGUAGACAGUGAGCAAUGGAUUGGAGGCAGUGAUCUGACUACAGAAGGCGAGUUUACAUGGAUAGAUGGAUCAGAUGUAACCACCAAGGGAUGGGCAACUGGCCAACCAAA